UUAUCGUUUAUUUGAUAGUGCCUUUCCUACUUGGAUAACCGUGGUAAUUCUAGAGCUAAUACAUGCUAAAAAUCCCGACUUCGGAAGGGAUGCAUUUAUUGGAUACAGAACCAACGCCCUCCGGGGCUUUCUGGUGAAUCACAAUAACUCCGCGGAUCGCACGGCCUUGCGCCGGCGAUGGUUCAUUCAAAUUUCUGCCCUAUCAACUUUCGACGGCUGGGUCUUGGCCAGCCGUGGUGACAACGGGUAACGGAGGGUUAGGGCUUGACCCCGGAGAAGGAGCCUGAGAGACGGCUACUACAUCCAAGGAAGGCAGCAGGCGCGCAAAUUACCCAAUCCCGACUCGGGGAGGUAGUGACAAUAAAUACUGAUCCAGGGCUCUUUUGGGUCUUGGAAUUGGAAUGAGUACAAUUUAAAUCCCUUAACGAGGAACAAUUGGAGGGCAAGUCUGGUGCCAGCAGCCGCGGUAAUUCCAGCUCCAAUAGCGUAUAUUAAAGUUGUUGAGGUUAAAAAGCUCGUAGUUGAACCUUGGCCCUGGCUGGCCGGUCCGCCUCACCGCGAGCACUGGUCCGGCCGGGGCUUUCCCUCUGGGGAUCCUCAUGCCCUUCACUGGGUGUGCUGGGGAACCAGGACUUUUACUGUGAACAAAUCAGAUCGCUCAAAGAAGGCUCUCGCUCGAAUGCUUCAGCAUGGAAUAAUGAAAUAGGACGUGCGGUUCUAUUUUGUUGGUUUCUAGGACCGCCGUAAUGAUUAAUAAGGGACAGUCGGGGGCAUCAGUAUUCAAUUGUCAGAGGUGAAAUUCUUGGAUCAAUUGAAGACUAACUACUGCGAAAGCAUUUGCCAAGGAUGUUUU
Molecule: ribosomal RNA, 853 nt
Filed under: Codinaeella yunnanensis
Lineage: Eukaryota; Fungi; Ascomycota; Sordariomycetes; Chaetosphaeriales; Chaetosphaeriaceae
Description: SSU rRNA
Rfam family: Eukaryotic small subunit ribosomal RNA
Source: RNAcentral